RNAcentral lists this long non-coding RNA (626 nucleotides) under Anser cygnoides (Swan goose). RNAcentral describes it as "lncRNA (ENSACDG00005013809.1)". The record is from RNAcentral. Lineage: Eukaryota; Metazoa; Chordata; Aves; Anseriformes; Anatidae.
UUCUGACUGUCACAAAGACUUUAAGCUGCUGACCAAAAAAGGAUUCUGUAACCUAAACCACAGAAGCAGAAGAGGUGAUUGAAAGAUACAUAUCAGUUUACACCCAAAAUUAAAGUAUCUAGAUAGUAUUCUUUCAUAGAAGAGAAUCUUAUUUCUAGUUCCAGAUGGAAUGAUACUCACAGAAGUGAUUCAUGUCCUGUCUUCAAGUGCUGGCUAAGCUGAGGCUCGGGAAGGGGAGGAGUAGUCUUGAACGGGAACAACUCCUUGUUUCUCCAGUUUUUCCUUCACAUGAUCUGACACAUUUUCUGUGUGCAAAUGCGCAAAAGAGGCCUUGGAGGAGAGGAUCAACAGCUGCACGGCAGAGGAGAUCUAGCCUGGCUUGGUGGUGGAUGGAUAAACAUGGAUCCACUGGACACACGGAAUCAGAACAAAAGUUUAUCUCCUUGUAUAACCUCCUCGUUAUAAUUACUGAACAAAAUAACAGCAAUAAGACACGACAAAAGUUGAAAAUGAGUGCUUGCUGCAGGGACUGCUGUGCAUUUUCUGACCCAUUCACAGGGACAGGAUUUGGUACUAGGGCUGUGGACAUUUUGUGUUACCUUUCACAUAAGACACACAGUUGUUAA